Molecule: ribosomal RNA, 292 nt
Filed under: uncultured bacterium
Lineage: Bacteria
Description: partial 16S ribosomal RNA
Rfam family: Bacterial small subunit ribosomal RNA
Source: RNAcentral
GUGCCAGCAGCCGCGGUAAUACGGGGGGGGCAAGCGUUGUUCGGAAUUACUGGGCGUAAAGGGCGCGUAGGCGGCCUGCUAAGUCGGAUGUGAAAUCCCUCGGCUCAACCGAGGAACUGCAUCCGAUACUGGCGGGCUUGAAUCCGGGAGAGGGAUGUGGAAUUCCAGGUGUAGCGGUGAAAUGCGUAGAUAUCUGGAGGAACACCGGUGGCGAAGGCGGCAUCCUGGACCGGUAUUGACGCUGAGGCGCGAAAGCUAGGGGAGCAAACGGGAUUAGAAACCCGCGUAGUCC